Molecule: ribosomal RNA, 253 nt
Filed under: uncultured bacterium
Lineage: Bacteria
Description: partial 16S ribosomal RNA
Rfam family: Bacterial small subunit ribosomal RNA
Source: RNAcentral
UACGAAGGGGGCUAGCGUUGUUCGGAAUUACUGGGCGUAAAGCGCACGUAGGCGGACUAUUAAGUCAGGGGUGAAAUCCCGGGGCUCAACCCCGGAACUGCCUUUGAUACUGGUAGUCUCGAGUCCGGAAGAGGUGAGUGGAAUUCCGAGUGUAGAGGUGAAAUUCGUAGAUAUUCGGAGGAACACCAGUGGCGAAGGCGGCUCACUGGUCCGGUACUGACGCUGAGACGCGAAAGCGUGGGGAGCGAACAGG